RNAcentral lists this ribosomal RNA (270 nucleotides) under Triticum aestivum (bread wheat). RNAcentral describes it as "partial small subunit ribosomal RNA". The record is from RNAcentral. Lineage: Eukaryota; Viridiplantae; Streptophyta; Magnoliopsida; Poales; Poaceae.
AUGGAGAUUUUUGAGCAUGUCACUGAAUUUAAUUGUUAUCCUAAUGUCUCUAUUAUAUUGCAUCUUAUUUAUAGUGCAUCUGACGGUGUCUCAGUUGAAAGACGAAGCUUUUCAAAGUUAAAAUUAUCAAUGAACUAUCUGAGGUCAAGAAUGACUAAUGAGAAUUUUAAUGGCUUGGCAUCAAUAUGCGUCAAGAAGAAAUUAUUGGAAGAGAUUGACAUGGACCUCAUCAGAAGUGACUUUGCAUCGAAAAGUGAUAUAAUUUUUUAA